This is a non-coding RNA of Sus scrofa (pig), 8139 nucleotides long. Lineage: Eukaryota; Metazoa; Chordata; Mammalia; Artiodactyla; Suidae. The record is from RefSeq and is a predicted model, not a curated record.
GGGCUGCACCUGUGGCAUAUGGAAGUUCCCAGGCUAGGGGUCAGAUCAGAGCUAUAGCUGCCAGCCUACACCAUGGCCACAGUAACGCAGGAUCCAAGCGGCAGUCUGCGACCUACACCACAGCUCAUGGCAACACUGGAUCCUCAACCCACCAAGCAAGGCCAGGGAUCAAACCUGCAUCCUCAUGGAUCCUGGUCAGGUUUGUUAACUGCUGAGCCAUGAAGGGAACUCCUUAUAAGCCACUGAAAUGGUGAGGUUUGUUAAUGAAGCAUAACCCAGACUCUCCUUAGUGAUACAAUUUCAUUUUAGAGUGGCUUAUAGUUGGUGAUAACUAAGGAAGCAUUUCAGUGUCAUCAGUAAUGCACCUCUAAAACCUAGGGGAGGAUGGCUGACUUAGGUGACAGUCUCAUAUGCAAAGUAGUCACAAACAGAGUACAUGGUGUAGUUUUUUUGUUUGUUUGUUUGUUUGUUUUCUUUUAAAAUCUCUGAGAAUCUUUUCCUAUCCAAUUUGGGUGAAAGCGUUCUCAUUCAUGCAUUUCAGAAAUACUGAGAGCCAACAAAAUUCCAGGCAUCGUGUUAGGUAGAGGGUACAGUAAUGAGCAAGGCAAGCGCAGUCCCUGUCUCAGCAGAGGUUUUAUUCUAAUGGCAGAGACAGACGAUACAUAAUUGCACGAUGAUUUCAAAGCAGUUGUGAUCAAAGCUAAGAUGAUGACGCCUAGGGUGUCAGCAGAACAUAUAACCAUGGACCUGACUGGGUCUGGGUCAACUUCCUCUUGGGUGCCCCCAGAAAUAAAUGAGUUGCCCCAAGUUACUCAAACACUAAAAGGGGGAAGAAUCAGACCCUUGUCCUCCUACUUAGGCACUCUGUGGUCUUUGGACAAAGCCUUGAAACUGUGCCUCAUAUUUGAGCCAACAACCCUGUUUUCACUACUUAUACUCAAGGGAGAGCCAGCUGGAAUUUGGAUGACAUACUCAUAUGACCUCAGAUUUUUAAAAAGACUCAAAACACAAGUAUCAGUGAUAUGGGGUCAAUAAAACUAUUCCUGUUUGGGAAGGCUGAUGGCAUAUCCUUGAUUUUUACAAGAACAGCAGAGUUAAAACAUUCAACACAUGCAGGCUGGACCACAAGUAAGUGUGUUGGCAUGUCAGUUCUGCCUCAUGAUGGCACUUCAACAACAGCCAAUGAACUACGUGCUUUCCUGCAUGGGGCAAAACGUUUUGUCCGGAAAUGAUCAUCUCCAAUAUUGCAAUUUUGCCAAAUUCUUUUAUUUUACUAUAACUGAGGAGUGAAUCCACUUUGGCUUGAUUCAACUCAAAAUAAGUUCCCUAGGCACCUAGGGAUACAGGGAAAGGUAAGACUCAAGUCUCUGUUCUAAAGGAACUCACUGUCUGGAGAGGACUUGUGGUUGCCCAGUGGAGAGGGGAGGGGCUGGGAGGGACUGGGAGUUUGGGGUUAGUAGAUGCAAACUAUUAGGUUUAGAAUGGAUGGAUGAUAGGGACCUGUUACGUAGCACAGGGAACUGUAUCCAGUCUCCUAGGAUGAGCUAUGAUGGGAAAUAUUUAAAAAAGAAUGUAUGUAUGUUUUUAAAAACCAUUUCAUAGCAAUAAAAUAAAUAAAUAAAUAAAGGAACUCACGGUCCAGUAGUGAAGUCAUUAACAAAUGAGGAAUUGCUCUUUGAUUACUGGCCAGUUAUCCUUCAUAAUGCUUUCCAAAACUUAAACUCUCCUAGUAUGCUGACACAAAGGCACGGUGGAUUUUACUUCAUUUCCCCUUUCUCAGCGCUCAUCUUCCUUCAAAACUUGAAGAUGGGCGUAAAAUGUUUGACACCAUAACUCCCCGUUAAUAUCCAAUUGGCAACAUAGGACUUGGAAAUAUUCACCAUGAGAGUCAUCUUGUGAGUCCAAUUUGGACCUACCACUAAUAAGAUGUGUGCCAAGCCUCUAAGCCUUGUGUCUUUGUGGGGGGGGGGGGGAGGGAGAAAGAGUUUGCUCAUUUGUAAAAUCCACUUCAAAACUCAAAUGCGUUCCCGCAUUAAGACUCCUUCCUUUGCUUUGAAAUAUCUAUAUCUAGUUACUAUCACUGUAAAAAAUUAAUUAAGCCUUCCAAGAAGCCCUCUUGCAAUACUGUUUGGACUCGGCAAGCAGGGAAGCGAUGAUGGUCUCGUGGUAUUUCCUGUUUCCCCCGAGUCCAAGUUCAUGAAGGAAUGUGUAAAAAGACACCACGCUGGCUUUCCAGUAGGAGCGUCCCUCCUGAGCCUUGUCGCUAGGCAACCCCAGGUGUGGCAUUAGCCCAUCCUCGGGCAAACUGAUUACGAUGCAAGAACUUGGGCCCAGAACUCUGCAAACGUCGGGCACUGACAUUGUGUAGUGCUGUUCCUUGCCCUCCAGCCUCCCUUUGGGUCCUCACGGUGCCAUUUCAAAGCGCUCGGUCCCAACACGCCUAGUCAAUGGUCUUUUCCGAGAUAGGCAGCCAGGGUCAGGCUUUUGGUGAACCAGGACUGGCCAGGGUGCCGUCUGGGCAAAGCCACGUCACUCCUCUCGGAAUUUCCCAACGACCAACAGCAGGACACCUCGAGCCACGCGCACACACACACACACACCUCAAGGGCCCGUCAUGACCUCGCCGACGGCCCUGGACCAAACCGCAUCUGGGAAUGGCGGGGUUGCGACGCGUCCACAGAGACGGGACGGCAGCCUCACGCGCUGGACCCGCCCACGCGCCCGCGGCCCCGCCCCCACUUCCGGCCGGACCGCGGUCACGUGCCCGGACCCCAGCCCAGCAGACGCGGCUACUCUCGCGUCGGCGAGCCUCCUGGCUUCUCUUCCGCCGGAAGUGGGGCGACUUUCCCUUUCCGGCUACGGGUCCCCAAGCGGAGCUGGAGGCCGGACAGGGGAGCCCGGUGGCGGCGGUGGCUGCGGCGGCGGCGGCAGUGGGGGCGGUAAUGGCGGAGCUGGUGCAGGGGCAGAGCGCUCCGGUGGGGAUGAAGGCCGAGGGCUUCGUGGACGCCCUGCACCGUGUCCGGCAGUAGGUAACCAGUUAGGGGCCUUGGUACAUCAAAGGGCAGUAAUAACAGAAGAAUUCAAAGUGCCUGAUAAAAUGGUUGGAUUUAUUAUUGGCCGGGGAGGUGAGCAGAUUUCACGGAUUCAAGCAGAAUCUGGUUGCAAAAUUCAAAUUGCUUCAGAGAGCUCUGGGAUUCCAGAGAGGCCCUGUGUGCUCACCGGAACCCCAGAAAGUAUUGAACAAGCCAAGCGGCUCCUGGGGCAGAUUGUGGAUCGCUGUCGGAACGGACCUGGCUUUCACAACGACGUCGACGGCAGCAGCACGAUCCAGGAGCUCCUCAUCCCUGCGUCGAAAGUGGGUCUGGUCAUCGGCAAAGGAGGGGAGACGAUAAAGCAGCUGCAGGAGCGGACGGGCGUGAAGAUGGUCAUGAUCCAGGACGGCCCGCUGCCGACGGGCGCCGACAAGCCUCUUCGCAUCACCGGAGACCCCUUUAAAGUGCAGCAAGCUCGAGAAAUGGUGUUAGAGAUCAUCCGAGAGAAAGACCAAGCCGACUUCCGAGGCGUUCGCGGCGAUUUCAGCUCCCGGAUGGGAGGAGGCAGCAUAGAGGUGUCUGUGCCUAGGUUUGCUGUGGGGAUUGUGAUAGGAAGAAAUGGGGAGAUGAUCAAAAAGAUCCAGAAUGAUGCCGGUGUGAGGAUUCAGUUCAAACCAGAUGAUGGCAUUAGUCCGGAGAGAGCUGCCCAGGUUAUGGGACCCCCAGACCGAUGCCAGCAUGCAGCCCACGUCAUCAGCGAGCUGAUUCUUACCGCCCAGGAAAGAGAUGGCUUCGGAGGCCUGGCAGUGGCCAGAGGAAGAGGCCGUGGCCGUGGCGACUGGAGCGUGGGAACCCCCGGGGGCAUCCAGGAGAUAACCUACACGGUGCCAGCCGAUAAGUGUGGCCUCGUCAUAGGCAAAGGGGGCGAGAACAUCAAGAGCAUAAACCAGCAGUCGGGAGCGCAUGUGGAGCUGCAGCGGAACCCCCCGCCCAACACGGACCCUGGCCUGCGGGUAUUCACCAUCCGGGGGGUCCCUCAGCAGAUCGAGGUGGCCAGACAUCUCAUAGACGAGAAAGUUGGCGGUAGCGGUCUCGGAGCGCCCGGAGCCUUUGGACAGAGCCCCUUCAGCCAGCCGCCCGCCGCCCCUCAUCAAAACACCUUUCCUCCAAGGAGCUCAGGGUGCUUCCCCAACAUUGCUGCUAAAGUGAACGGAAACCCCCAUGGCGCCCCUGUGAGCGGUCCUCCGGCCUUUCUGACCCAGGGCUGGGGCAGCACCUACCAGGCAUGGCAGCAGCCCGCACAGCAGGUCCCAAGUAAGUGCCUGGGGGAGUGGGCCCGCAGCCCCGCAGACCGGCCACGGGCGCCCAUCCCCAGGGGGGCCCCAGCGCCUCCUGGGGGGGCGGGCGGUGUCCAGCUGGCCUCCUCAGACCUGUCUUUCCUUCUGCGCCGUCCUCCUCACCCUUGUUCCCACAGAUGGGUCCAGGAGGCCUGCGGCCCCAAGGGCGAGGAUGGCCCUGAGCCCCUGCCCUCCUCCCCCUCCUCUCCUCAAGCAGCCCCGCCUAUUGGGUGCCCUCGAGGUGGUCUGCUCCCUCUCCUCUGUCCAGCACCACCCCAGGGAGGGAGCUUCCUGUCUCCUGCACCUGGAGACAGCACACCCUAGAGGAUGCCCUCUGCCGAGUGGCACCGCUCCAGGAAAACUGACUAGAAGAGGAAGGUCUGGGUGGAAUCAAACCCACUCCCACCCUCCGGCCCCCACAUGAGCUUCAGGCAUCAUUCUUGAGUUUUAUCGGUGGAGAACCCACGUUGCACAGCCUUCGAAAAACAGUAACAAAACGAAAACCUUGCCUCGGGUUCCUUCGACAUGGGAAGGGCCAGCACAGAGCUGUUUGGGAAGCGCUCUUCGGUGCACCUGCAGCCUCCCUCGGAGCGUGCCCGGCCCGCGUGCUGCCGCAGCUUCACUCACCAGGGGCUGAGCCCAGGCCUCAGGUCCCCCCCUUUCCCCUUGAGCAGAGGGCUGGCUCUGAACCCCUACUCCAGGGCGCCUGUCAGGUGCACAGCUGGAUGAGCCCCCGGGAGUCUGGAGCCAGUAUUGGGCGGCCUCAGGCAGGUGCCCCUUCCCUGGGGCUCCCCUUCUGUCCUCUGUGAGACGAAGGGUCUGGGUUUGAUUUCUCGAGUACCUGUGAGCUCUGAAACCCCAUGGCUGUGUUUUCUUUCCCGGUGUUUCCUUAUGAAACAUCUUAAACAUGCAGAAUGUCGUCAAGUCUUCACCAGGAACACCUACAGGCCCCCUAGACCUGCCUUCCCCCCGGCCCUGUGCUCACUUAUCCUGAAGCCCGGGCGUGUUUUGUUCCCUCCUGCCCGGUCCAAGGGCACCCCAGGGUGGGAGGUGACCCGGGUCAGGCUCCCAUGUGCCCGUGGCCCAGGGCAGAGGACUGGGAGAAGCCCCAGACCGUGAGGCGGCUUUACAUUGGAGCCCCAGGGGCCACGUCCAUCUCCAGGGGCGGGAGUGCCGGCAGAGCCCCGCUGCUGCCGCCGCCUCAAGUGCAGGCGGGCGCGGAGCCGGCAAAGAAGGCACGUGCUUCGUCGAGGAAGACACCUGCUUUCUUGCUUCGAUCAGCCUUGUCUGGGUGUCCAGCUUCCUUCAUUUGGAGGCUGUUGAGAAUGGGGUGUGGGCCGUGAAGUCUUGUCUGGAAGAGAAACCCAGCUUGCCCACCCCUCCGUGUCUGAGGGGCCAGUUCCUGCCGCCCCACUCCGCGCUCUGCAAGACCAGGGCCGGCUGCCGUCGGUGUCCAGGUCCGAGCCCCUUCCUGCCCCGGCGGGGGAAGAGGGGUCUCUCCCGGCCCCACGCCCCUCCUCGGUCUCCGGUGGAAGAAUGCUUGAGAAAAGCCUUCCUCCGUGGAAUGUGUUUGGGAGCACGUGCUUCCUGCCUGCUGAGCCUGUGCUGCUAACCCAAGAUGGGUGGGGCCUGGGUGGGGGACAGCAGGGCAGCAGAAGAAGGACCCACCCUGAGGGCGCGUCUUUUGGUGCUCUGCAGGCCCCCACCCCCACCCCGGGCCCAGCCGCUCCGCCCCGCUCUGCUCCGCAGGAGGAGGGUGCAAACAGGCCCCCACCCCUGACGGGCUCAAGGCCAGGCGGGGUCGGGUCGUGUGUGGCGUCCGCCCCUCGCUGUGUGUGCCUCGUCUUCUGUCGUCAUCUCGAGCACUCUCCCUGCGCGUCCCUUGCAUUCUGUCUGUCCAGAGGCAGAGCCUCAGUCCCUGCGCGGAAGGGCCAGGUGACAGGAGCCAUCCCCACCCUUUGAAUUCCUUGUCCCAAUUGAAGGCCAAUCCGGGCAGCCGUGGGCAACACCCUGGCCCUUGGGGCUCAGCUCACUGACUCCCCUCCCGUCUGAAGGAGGUUGAUCUGCCAGGCCAGCCGAGCCAGCCGCUGCCCCUCAGGCCAAGGGCCCAGGGGCCAGAGAGUGAGCCAGCAAGUGCAGAGAGCAGGGCUGGAGCCUGCGGCCUGAGGCCGAGGCCGAGGGAGCCCGAAGGCCUGACUGCUUUUGUGUUCUUCGCACAGGCCAGCAGAGCCAGCCGCAGAGCAGCCAGCCCGACUACAGCAAGGCCUGGGAAGACUAUUACAAAAAGCAGAGUCACGCGGCCAGCGCCGCUCCUCAGGCCAGCUCCCCGCCGGACUACACAAUGGCCUGGGCGGAAUAUUACAGACAGCAGGUCGCUUUCUACGGGCAGACAUUAGGGCAAGCUCAGGCCCACAGCCAGGAACAGUAGGACAUUGACCCCCGGCUCCCUCCACCCCGAAAUCAUUGUGAGCAAAAACCUAUUUGUAACAGAGGUUUUUAGAUUUGCAAACCUUUUGAUGAAGAACCUUUGUUUUCUGUGAAACACUAUAUUUAGAUUAACAGAAUUUUUCUAAAAAUCGGAAAAAUAGUUACUAAAAAAUUGCUGAUAAUUUUUGUUUGUUACUUCAAAUGUGUAAGCUCUGGGAUUCCUUUUGGAGCAAUACCUGCAAAUUCAGGCACCAGAAUGUGCCUCAGAGCAGUGACAUUUCAACAUGGUGUGUUUUGUUUUGUUUUGUUUUGUUUUUUGUUUUUGCGUGUCUUUUUAUUUACAGUUUUUUCUGUUGCAACAGAAAGUGGCUUGGAAGUCUUAGGUGGUUUGUAACAAAUUCUUUAAAAAAAUUUUUAAACAGUAUUUAAAUAUUCUUAAAUGUGUAAAUUCAUUAAAUGUUUUACUUUUAAUUUCUUGUACCUUGGCUGUCUGGUUUUAUUGCAUUUUUAAAAAAACUGAACUAUUAUGUAUUGUAAUUAAUGAUGUGAAUUCUGAAUUGAGACAGAUAAUUGUAUUGCUGUCCAACAGGGAUCGGGAGGGGGCAUUUUAUAGGGUUUGUAUAAUUUCUAGAGUUCUAAAGGGGUAAUAAUAUAAAAAUGUGUUCGUGUGUUUAGACGUUUUUUUCAUGUCUCCAUUACCUACCGGUUGCAAUUGUGUAUCUAAGACCUCCAAGCUUGUUUUAAAAACAAAACAAAAAACCUUUCUCUGUUCUCUCAGAAGUAUAAAUACUGUUAUUUUUAAUAUUAAAAAUAAAUUCAGUAUAACUUUUAACAAACACUGUGGAACAUUAAACCGCAUAAAAAUGUAGUUAACUAUUUUUUAAUUCCAAGGUGUUUUUUGCUUUUUUUCUUUUAAAUAUUUUCUUAAUAUUUGUCAAAUUAACUAGAUGGAUAAAUAAAUCUAGUAUUAACCACAGUAUGAAUUAAAUAAUUUUGAUUUAAUGAAAGGGAUAAUAUGAUUUCCAGUGUUUACUGUAGUGUAUCUUGUACAGAUAACAUGUAUUUUUAAAAGAAAGAAAAACGGAAUUGAAGCUAUUUUUUCUUGCAUUUUUCAAUUGACCUGAGGGACAUUCCGUUUGAGAUGUACUGAAGUUAUAAUUUCUGGGUUUUUUUUCUUUAGUUUCCUUACAAUGCUUGAAAUGUCUAACUAUUAAAAAAGGCAAUUGGAAGAUGUUAUAUGCAUGUUGUUUUUAAAAAAAAAAAAGUGUUCUUUUUAUUUGACUGACAAUUCAUUUUACACUCUACAUAAUAAAAUUUCCACAAGACCUCUUGUGGGCAAAGUA